ACUCCUACGGGAGGCAGCAGUAGGGAAUCUUCCACAAUGGACGAAAGUCUGAUGGAGCAACGCCGCGUGAGUGAAGAAGGGUUUCGGCUCGUAAAACUCUGUUGUUAAAGAAGAACAUAUCUGAGAGUAACUGUCCAGGUAUUGACGGUAUUUAACCAGAAAGCCACGGCUAACUACGUGCCAGCAGCCGCGGUAAUACGUAGGUGGCAAGCGUUGUCCGGAUUCAUUGGGCGUAAAGCGAGCGCAGGCGGUUUUUUAAGUCUGAUGUGAAAGCCUUCGGCUCAACCGAAGAAGUGCAUCGGAAACUGGGAAACUUGAGUGCAGAAGAGGACAGUGGAACUCCAUGUGUAGCGGUGAAAUGCGUAGAUAUAUGGAAGAACACCAGUGGCGAAGGCGGCUGUCUGGUCUGUAACUGACGCUGAGGCUCGAAAGUAUGGGUAGCAAACAGGAUUAGAUACCCCUGGUAGGAUAGCG
Molecule: ribosomal RNA, 474 nt
Filed under: uncultured bacterium
Lineage: Bacteria
Description: bacterial SSU rRNA
Rfam family: Bacterial small subunit ribosomal RNA
Source: RNAcentral